RNAcentral lists this ribosomal RNA (586 nucleotides) under uncultured bacterium. Its description in RNAcentral is "partial 16S ribosomal RNA". It matches the Rfam family "Bacterial small subunit ribosomal RNA", at positions 355 to 1375 of the family's 1533-position model. The record is from RNAcentral.
UGGGGAAUUUUGGACAAUGGGCGAAAGCCUGAUCCAGCAAUGCCGCGUGUGUGAAGAAGGCCUUCGGGUUGUAAAGCACUUUUGUCCGGAAAGAAAUCCUUGGCUCUAAUACAGUCGGGGGAUGACGGUACCGGAAGAAUAAGCACCGGCUAACUACGUGCCAGCAGCCGCGGUAAUACGUAGGGUGCAAGCGUUAAUCGGAAUUACUGGGCGUAAAGCGUGCGCAGGCGGUUUGCUAAGACCGAUGUGAAAUCCCCGGGCUCAACCUGGGAACUGCAUUGGUGACUGGCAGGCUAGAGUAUGGCAGAGGGGGGUAGAAUUCCACGUGUAGCAGUGAAAUGCGUAGAGAUGUGGAGGAAUACCGAUGGCGAAGGCAGCCCCCUGGGCCAAUACUGACGCUCAUGCACGAAAGCGUGGGGAGCAAACAGGAUUAGAUACCCUGGUAGUCCACGCCCUAAAACGAUGUCAACUAGUUGUUGGGGGUUCAUUUCCUUAGUAACGUAGCUAACGCGUGAAGUUGACCGCCUGGGGAGUACGGUCGCAAGAUUAAAACUCAAAGGAAUUGACGGGGUCAUAGCUGUUUCCU